GACGAACGCUGGCGGCGUGCUUAACACAUGCAAGUCGAACGGAAAGGCCUCUUUCGGGGGGUACUCGAGUGGCGAACGGGUGAGUAACACGUGAGUAACCUGCCCUUGACUUUGGGAUAACUUCAGGAAACUGGGCUAAUACCGGAUAGGAGCUCCUGCUGCAUGGUGGGGGUUGGAAAGUUUCGGCGGUUGGGGAUGGACUCGCGGCCUAUCAGCUUGUUGGUGGGGUAGUGGCUUACCAAGGCUUUGACGGGUAGCCGGCCUGAGAGGGUGACCGGCCACAUUGGGACUGAGAUACGGCCCAGACUCCUACGGGAGGCAGCAGUGGGGAAUAUUGCACAAUGGGUGGAAGCCUGAUGCAGCAACGCCGUGUGCGGGAUGACGGCCUUCGGGUUGUAAACCGCUUUCGCUCAUGACGAAGCUUUGUGUGACGGUAGUGGGUAAAGAAGCACCGGCUAACUACGUG
RNAcentral lists this ribosomal RNA (466 nucleotides) under uncultured bacterium. RNAcentral's name for it is "partial 16S ribosomal RNA". It matches the Rfam family "Bacterial small subunit ribosomal RNA", at positions 28 to 507 of the family's 1533-position model. The record is from RNAcentral.